UAGGGAAUAUUGGACAAUGGGCGCAAGCCUGAUCCAGCAACGCCGCGUGAAUGAUGAAGGCCUUAGGGUUGUAAAAUUCUUUCGCUAGGGAAGAUAAUGACUGUACCUAGUAAAGAAGCCCCGGCUAACUCCGUGCCAGCAGCCGCGGUAAUACGGAGGGGGCUAGCGUUGUUCGGAAUUACUGGGCGUAAAGCGUGCGUAGGCGGACUGGAAAGUCAGAUGUGAAAUCCCGGGGCUCAACCCCGGAACUGCAUUUGAAACUAUCAGUCUAGAGUUCUGGAGAGGUAAGUGGAAUUCCUAGUGUAGAGGUGAAAUUCGUAGAUAUUAGGAGGAACACCAGAGGCGAAGGCGGCUUACUGGACAGAUACUGACGCUGAGGCACGAAAGUGUGGGGAGCAAACAGGAUUAGAUACCCCCGUAGUCC
RNAcentral lists this ribosomal RNA (424 nucleotides) under uncultured prokaryote. RNAcentral's name for it is "bacterial SSU rRNA". It matches the Rfam family "Bacterial small subunit ribosomal RNA", at positions 355 to 796 of the family's 1533-position model. The record is from RNAcentral.